UCUUUGCUAGUAUAUCGGUUAGUACACGCGCCUGUCAUGGCUUAACCGUGCGCGCGAAAGCUGGGUUCGACUCCCAGGCAGAGAG
This 85-nucleotide transfer RNA is filed under the name Sphagnurus paluster. Its description in RNAcentral is "tRNA-Asp". It matches the Rfam family "tRNA". From Rfam's summary of the family: Transfer RNA (tRNA) molecules are approximately 80 nucleotides in length. Their secondary structure includes four short double-helical elements and three loops (D, anti-codon, and T loops). Further hydrogen bonds mediate the characteristic L-shaped molecular structure. tRNAs have two regions of fundamental functional importance: the anti-codon, which is responsible for specific mRNA codon recognition, and the 3' end, to which the tRNAs corresponding amino acid is attached (by aminoacyl-tRNA synthetases). tRNAs cope with the degeneracy of the genetic code in two manners: having more than one tRNA (with a specific anti-codon) for a particular amino acid; and 'wobble' base-pairing, i.e. permitting non-standard base-pairing at the 3rd anti-codon position. Lineage: Eukaryota; Fungi; Basidiomycota; Agaricomycetes; Agaricales; Lyophyllaceae. The record is from RNAcentral.